UACGUAGGGCGCAAGCGUUAUCCGGAAUUAUUGGGCGUAAAGAGCUCGUAGGCGGUUUGUCGCGUCUGCCGUGAAAGUCCGGGGCUCAACUCCGGAUCUGCGGUGGGUACGGGCAGACUAGAGUGAUGUAGGGGAGACUGGAAUUCCUGGUGUAGCGGUGAAAUGCACAGAUAUCAGGAGGAACACCGAUGGCGAAGGCAGGUCUCUGGGCCGAUACUGACGCUGAGGAGCGAAAGCGUGGGGAGCGAACAGG
This 253-nucleotide ribosomal RNA is filed under the name uncultured bacterium. Its description in RNAcentral is "partial 16S ribosomal RNA". It matches the Rfam family "Bacterial small subunit ribosomal RNA", at positions 524 to 776 of the family's 1533-position model. The record is from RNAcentral.